AACUCCGGGRAACCGGGYCUAAUACCGGAUWAYAUUUUGAACYGCAUGGUUCRAAAUUGAAMGGCGGCUUCGGCUGUCACUUAUGGAUGGACCCGCGUCGCAUUAGCUAGUUGGKGAGGUAACGGCUCACCAAGGCAACGAUGCGUASCCRACCUGAGAGGGUGAUCGGCCACACUGGGACUGAGACACGGCCCAGACUCCUACGGGAGGCAGCAGUAGGGAAUCUUCCGCAAUGGACGAAAGUCUGACGGASCAACGCCGCGUGAGUGAUGAAGGCUUUCGGGUCGUAAAACUCUGUUGUUAGGGAAGAACAAGUGCUAGUUGAAUAAGCUGGCACCUUGACGGUACCUAACCAGAAAGCCACGGCUAACUACGUGCCAGCAGCCGCGGUAAUACGUAGGUGGCAAGCGUUAUCCGGAAUUAUUGGGCGUAAAGCGCGCGCAGGUGGUUUCUUAAGUCUGAUGUGAAAGCCCACGGCUCAACCGUGGAGGGUCAUUGGAAACUGGGAGACUUGAGUGCAGAAGAGGAAAGUGGAAUUCCAUGUGUAGCGGUGAAAUGCGUAGAGAUAUGGAGGAACMCCAGUGGCGAAGSCGACUUUCUGGUCUGUAACUGAMMCUGAGSSCGAAGCGUGGGGAGCAAMAGGAUUAGAWACCCUGUAGUCCMCGCCGUAACGAUGRKGCUAGKGUAGAGGCUUCCGCCCKUUAGUGCUGAGUACSCAUAGCACYCCGCCUGGGGAGUACCGCC
Molecule: ribosomal RNA, 744 nt
Filed under: Bacillus cereus KFP9-F
Lineage: Bacteria; Bacillati; Bacillota; Bacilli; Caryophanales; Bacillaceae
Description: partial 16S ribosomal RNA
Rfam family: Bacterial small subunit ribosomal RNA
Source: RNAcentral